GAUGAACGCUGGCGGCGUGCCUAAUACAUGCAAGUCGAGCGAACGGACGAGAAACUUUCUUUUCUGAUGUUAGCGGCGGACGGGUGAGUAACACGUGGAUAACCUACCUAUAAGACUGGGAUAACUUCGGGAAACCGGAGCUAAUACCGGAUAAUAUUUUGAACCGCAUGGUUCAAAAGUGAAAGACGGUCUUGCUGUCACUUAUAGAUGGAUCCGCGCUGCAUUAGCUAGUUGGUAAGGUAACGGCUUACCAAGGCAACGAUGCAUAGCCGACCUGAGAGGGUGAUCGGCCACACUGGAACUGAGACGCGGUCCAGACUCCUACGGGAGGCAGCAGUAGGGAAUCUUCCGCAAUGGGCGAAAGCCUGACGGAGCAACGCCGCGUGAGUGAUGAAGGUCUUCGGAUCGUAAAACUCUGUUAUUAGGGAAGAACAUAUGUGUAAGUAACUGUGCACAUAUUGACGGUACCUAAUCAGAAAGCCACGGCUAACUACGUG
This 497-nucleotide ribosomal RNA is filed under the name uncultured bacterium. Its description in RNAcentral is "partial 16S ribosomal RNA". It matches the Rfam family "Bacterial small subunit ribosomal RNA", at positions 28 to 507 of the family's 1533-position model. The record is from RNAcentral.